RNAcentral lists this transfer RNA (67 nucleotides) under Chelonia mydas (Green sea turtle). It matches the Rfam family "tRNA". From Rfam's summary of the family: Transfer RNA (tRNA) molecules are approximately 80 nucleotides in length. Their secondary structure includes four short double-helical elements and three loops (D, anti-codon, and T loops). Lineage: Eukaryota; Metazoa; Chordata; Testudines; Cheloniidae. The record is from Rfam by way of RNAcentral.
UCCCAUGGUGUAAUGGUCAGCACUCAGGACUCUGAAUCCUAAAAUGUGAGUUCAAAUCUCAGUAGGA